Mycena rosella is the source of this 91-nucleotide non-coding RNA. Lineage: Eukaryota; Fungi; Basidiomycota; Agaricomycetes; Agaricales; Mycenaceae. The record is from the annotation of a GenBank genome assembly.
GGCACCGUGGAUGAGUGGUCAAUCGCCUCACUGCUAUAAUAUAUAAGUCAAGUGUCAUGAGGAAACGUGGGUUCGAUUCCCGCAGGAGGCC